This is a long non-coding RNA of Bombus pascuorum, 668 nucleotides long. RefSeq lists it as uncharacterized. The record is from RefSeq and is a predicted model, not a curated record. The transcript is spliced from 3 exons. NCBI's taxonomy places the organism in Eukaryota, Metazoa, Arthropoda, Insecta, Hymenoptera, Apidae.
GAAGUCAUUUCUAUCGUUUAUUCCUUUCUUUCUGCAUACAGUAAGAAGUUUAGUGAGAAAGUAUAUCCAGAAUCUUUCUAUUUCAUUCCGAAUCAAAACGAAUUUCACUUCAAGAUUGAUUAUACUUCACUUUUGACGAGCAAAACGGGGAAGAUAAUUAAUUUGAUUUCUGUGAAAGAUCAAAAACAUCAGCGUUCUUCGGUUCUAAAAAGUGAUGGAGAUUCCUUUAUUGCGUCACAGAACGAGACUUUUGUCGCUGGAAGUACAAGUAGAGAGUAAUUCCGGUUUUAACGUCUUACAUUCCGCGCAACGACCCUGCAAUUACCAAGAGAGCAAUUUUUCCGAGCCCCAAAUGAAUCUCUGCUACCUUUGCGGUUCGCGAACGUUAGACGUAUUAAGAAUUCUGACGAUGAAGGAAACUCUUCAUUAUCGGUUGGACGGAGAAGCAAGGCAGAAGUUCCGUAGACAAAUUCCACUAGCAUCAACAGGCUAUUCUUUACCGCGUAAAAAUCGAUGCUGCGGAAUUUCUUCCGGAUAGUUUCACCAUCUGAGGAUUAAAGAACCGUCCGUUUACGUCAGCAAAGCGAAUCUUUGAUCACUAGACUGCGAACUUUUAUACAUUUAUGGAAAAUUUAAAGAUAUAGAAUAAUAGAUGAGAAUGCAUACGA